AUUUUUUAGUGCCAUAUUUUACCAACAUCUUAGAGUACAAGACCUGUUGCAAGGUUCGUGAAAUAGAAAAAAUAAAAAUAAAAAACAUAUAAUUAUUCGAUGUCAACAAAAUAAUAAAAUGAUAAUUAUAGAAUAUUUCAGCGUAAGAUAUAUGCAUAGAUUUUCUUCCAGAGUAAGAACAUAUUCUUCAUUCAUGGAGUAAGUGUACUCUCUUGGUUAUGUCACUCAUACAUUUGUCACACACAUCUUUCUACAUAUGUUGUUAAUACACAGCCACUUACGAUUCAAACUUGUUGGACAAUCAGCAUCCAUUGUACAUUUAAUAAGCUCUAUAAUAAUUAAAGACAAUAUAAGAAUGUUAUAAAAUAAAAUGAGAUAAAAGAUUGUGUACGAAAAAAAAACUAAAGAAAAUCCGGAAAGGAUUGAAAAAUAGCUUACCACCGUCAACGUUCAUUACAACAAGAAAUGGAGAAAGAAAUAUAAUUAUAGAAUAAAUAAACUUGAAUGUUUUAACCAUAUUUUUCUGCCUUUAUAUAU
Molecule: long non-coding RNA, 537 nt
Filed under: Medicago truncatula (barrel medic)
Lineage: Eukaryota; Viridiplantae; Streptophyta; Magnoliopsida; Fabales; Fabaceae
Description: lncRNA gene23355
Source: RNAcentral